This is a non-coding RNA of Potamilus streckersoni, 73 nucleotides long. The record is from the annotation of a GenBank genome assembly. Lineage: Eukaryota; Metazoa; Mollusca; Bivalvia; Unionida; Unionidae.
GCUCCAGUUGCCUAGUGGUUAGAGCGUCCGCCUCGUAUGCGGGAGGUCGCGAGUUCUAUCCUCGGUCGAGUCA